AUUGAACGCUGGCGGCAUGCUUUACACAUGCAAGUCGAACGGCAGCACGGGCUUCGGCCUGGUGGCGAGUGGCGCACGGGUGAGUAAUAUAUCGGAACGUACCCAGAAGUGGGGGAUAACGUAGCGAAAGUUACGCUAAUACCGCAUACGAUCUAUGGAUGAAAGCAGGGGACCGCAAGGCCUUGUGCUCCUGGAGCGGCCGAUAUCUGAUUAGCUAGUUGGUGAGGUAAAGGCUCACCAAGGCGACGAUCAGUAGCUGGUCUGAGAGGACGACCAGCCACACUGGAACUGAGACACGGUCCAGACUCCUACGGGAGGCAGCAGUGGGGAAUUUUGGACAAUGGGCGCAAGCCUGAUCCAGCAAUGCCGCGUGAGUGAAGAAGGCCUUCGGGUUGUAAAGCUCUUUUGUCAGGGAAGAAACGGUAGAGGCUAAUAUCCUUUGCUAAUGACGGUACCUGAAGAAUAAGCACCGGCUAACUACGUG
RNAcentral lists this ribosomal RNA (484 nucleotides) under uncultured bacterium. RNAcentral's name for it is "partial 16S ribosomal RNA". It matches the Rfam family "Bacterial small subunit ribosomal RNA", at positions 30 to 507 of the family's 1533-position model. The record is from RNAcentral.